UUGAGCCUCACACUGUUUGAAAGACAGACAAGAUAAUGUUUUGAACAUUGUCCUGUCGGUUUCUUUGAAGCAGACCAGAAGUUAAAAAGUUAGAGAUUGAACAUAAGAGUUUGAUCCUGGCUCAGAUUGAACGCUGGCGGCAUGCUUUACACAUGCAAGUCGGACGGCAGCACAGAGAAGCUUGCUUCUUGGGUGGCGAGUGGCGAACGGGUGAGUAACAUAUCGGAACGUACCGAGUAGUGGGGGAUAACUG
Molecule: ribosomal RNA, 253 nt
Filed under: Neisseria meningitidis NM2795
Lineage: Bacteria; Pseudomonadati; Pseudomonadota; Betaproteobacteria; Neisseriales; Neisseriaceae
Description: partial 23S ribosomal RNA
Rfam family: Bacterial small subunit ribosomal RNA (bases 99-253)
Source: RNAcentral